This 208-nucleotide long non-coding RNA is filed under the name Spirodela polyrhiza (greater duckweed). Its description in RNAcentral is "long non-coding RNA (SPOL_LNC001609)". The record is from RNAcentral. Lineage: Eukaryota; Viridiplantae; Streptophyta; Magnoliopsida; Alismatales; Araceae.
GGAGGAGAGCGGGAUCAGGAAUGUCGCCGCCGAGGGCCGCCACGGUCGGCGGCGGCGGCGGCGGCGGCUGCGGCGACGGUGGAAGGAGGUGUGAGCUGCGCAAGGAUGGCGUCUUUGGGCGGUGAGUCAUUUCCCUCGUGCGCAAGCGCGGCGGUCCAACUCAUUGGCUCCUGCCACCACCACGGCGAGUUCCAACCCUAGGAACGCA